CCUGAAAGGGCGGGGUGCCCGCAAGGGAGCGUGGAGACAGGUGGUGCAUGGCUGUCGUCAGCUCGUGUCGUGAGAUGUUGGGUUAAGUCCCGCAACGAGCGCAACCCUCACCCCUAGUUGCCACCGGGUAAAGCCGAGCACUCGAGGGGAACUGCCAGCGUCAAGCUGGAGGAAGGCGGGGAUGACGUCAAGUCAUCAUGCCCCUUACGCCCUGGGCUACACACGUGCUACAAUGGCCAGUACAAAGGGAUGCGAGACCGCAAGGUGGAGCUAAUCCCAGAAAGCUGGUCUAAGUUCGGAUUGCAGUCUGCAACUCGACUGCAUGAAGUAGGAAUCGCUAGUAAUCGCGCAUCAGCACGGCGCGGUGAAUACGUUCCCGGGCCUUGUACACACCGCCCGUCACACCACGAAAGCUGU
This 417-nucleotide ribosomal RNA is filed under the name uncultured bacterium. RNAcentral's name for it is "bacterial SSU rRNA". It matches the Rfam family "Bacterial small subunit ribosomal RNA", at positions 1000 to 1414 of the family's 1533-position model. The record is from RNAcentral.